GUCGCUUCUCGGCCUUUUGGCUAAGAUCAAGUGGAGCAUGUGUUCAUUUCAGUUGAAUAUUUCCAGAAUUUCCCUCUGGGAAUUAAUAAUGUCUGUCUUAGUCUAAAAUGUUGUUAUUGCAUAAAUUCCAAAGACUCUUC
This 140-nucleotide small nuclear RNA is filed under the name Acanthochromis polyacanthus (spiny chromis). RNAcentral describes it as "U2 spliceosomal RNA (ENSAPOG00000007932.1)". It matches the Rfam family "U2 spliceosomal RNA". Rfam says of the family: U2 is a small nuclear RNA (snRNA) component of the spliceosome (involved in pre-mRNA splicing). Complementary binding between U2 snRNA (in an area lying towards the 5' end but 3' to hairpin I) and the branchpoint sequence (BPS) of the intron results the bulging out of an unpaired adenosine, on the BPS, which initiates a nucleophilic attack at the intronic 5' splice site, thus starting the first of two transesterification reactions that mediate splicing. The record is from RNAcentral. Lineage: Eukaryota; Metazoa; Chordata; Actinopteri; Pomacentridae.